UACGGGGGGGGCAAGCGUUGUUCGGAAUUACUGGGCGUAAAGGGCUUGUAGGUGGCCAACUAAGUCAGACGUGAAAUCCCUCGGCUUAACCGGGGAACUGCGUCUGAUACUGGAUGGCUGGAGUGUGGGAGAGGGAUGCGGAAUUCCAGGUGUAGCGGUGAAAUGCGUAGAUAUCUGGAGGAACACCGGUGGCGAAGGCGGCAUCCUGGACCAUUACUGACGCUGAGGAGCGAAAGCCAGGGGAGCAAACGGG
This 253-nucleotide ribosomal RNA is filed under the name uncultured bacterium. RNAcentral describes it as "partial 16S ribosomal RNA". It matches the Rfam family "Bacterial small subunit ribosomal RNA", at positions 524 to 776 of the family's 1533-position model. The record is from RNAcentral.